RNAcentral lists this long non-coding RNA (744 nucleotides) under Astyanax mexicanus (Mexican tetra). RNAcentral describes it as "lncRNA (ENSAMXG00005018828.1)". The record is from RNAcentral. Lineage: Eukaryota; Metazoa; Chordata; Actinopteri; Characiformes; Acestrorhamphidae.
AUGAAUAAAGUCCACAAAAUGAAUCACAGUGUCGUUUCCAAGAAUGCUGAUAAGACCAAAUGUGCAAAGUGGCAUUAUACCACUAAAUAUCUCAAGAUAACUUCUUCUAUUAUUUGUUUACGUGUACAGAGAAAAGAUGCUGACCCAGCACUUCAGGAAACAAAGAUGUCUGAUGAAUUUGAUGAAAAGAUGACUCUGGGACUGAAGGAAGUCGAACCCCUAGAGCUGGAUCUGACCAAUUCUGAUAUUGACCCCAACAUGUUAAUAUGGAAAGCCAUCAAGCAGCUCAACCGUCAGAAAUACGAGAAGCCAGAGGAGGACAAAGACCAGCUCUAUCAUCCAUUUGAAGAACCCAGCAACAAGCAGCCUGACAGCUACUUCCAGCCCCAGCAGUUUGGUCAGGUCCAGCUGUAUCAAGAACCUGAGCAGGAUAUGGACAACCUCUAUCAUUCCAACUCUGAGAAGCAAGAUGCUUAUGAGAAAUCAGUGCAAACAGGUGCUGAACACAGAGCUGAAGAGUUUGUGUACUUGACCCCAGAAGAGGACAAAGAUGGCCUUUACCAUGAAAGCUUUCCAUCAGAGUCUAUAGUGGUGGCUCCAGUGAUGCAAGCUUUUGACAACGAGCCCAAGAGGGUUUACACCGAACCCGAAGAAGACCUGGAUAACCUAUAUCACAGUUAAAUAACAACAGUGCAGGAUGUAUUCAAGUAAAUUAAGUAAGACAAAGAUUUUAUGAAAUAUAUC